AUUGAACGCUGGCGGAAUGCUUUACACAUGCAAGUCGAGCGCGAAAGUUCUUCGGAAUGAGUAAAGCGGCGGACGGGUGAGUAAUACAUGGGAAUCUGCCUGGUAGUGGGGGACAACGUUUCGAAAGGAACGCUAAUACCGCAUACGCCCUACGGGGGAAAGGGGGGGAUCUUCGGACCUCUCGCUAUCAGAUGAGCCCA
This 200-nucleotide ribosomal RNA is filed under the name uncultured bacterium. RNAcentral describes it as "partial 16S ribosomal RNA". It matches the Rfam family "Bacterial small subunit ribosomal RNA", at positions 30 to 233 of the family's 1533-position model. The record is from RNAcentral.